Molecule: ribosomal RNA, 473 nt
Filed under: uncultured bacterium
Lineage: Bacteria
Description: bacterial SSU rRNA
Rfam family: Bacterial small subunit ribosomal RNA
Source: RNAcentral
UGGGGAAUAUUGGACAAUGGGGGGCAACCCUGAUCCAGCGAUGCCGCGUGUGUGAAGAAGGCCUGAGGGUUGUAAAGCACUUUAGUUGUUGAGGAAGGUUGUGAGGUGAAUACCCUCAUAACUUGACGGUAAACAAAGAAUAAGCCACGGCUAACUACGUGCCAGCAGCCGCGGUAAUACGUAGGUGGCAAGCGUUGUCCGGAUUUAUUGGGUUUAAAGGGUGCGUAGGUGGCCCUGUAAGUCAGUGGUGAAAUAUCUCAGCUUAACUGAGAGGGUGCCAUUGAUACUGCAGGGCUUGAGUACAGAUGAGGUAGGCGGAAUUGACGGUGUAGCGGUGAAAUGCAUAGAUAUCGUCAAGAACACCGAUAGCGAAGGCAGCUUACCAAGCUGUAACUGACACUGAGGCACGAAAGUGUGGGGAUCAAACAGGAUUAGAUACCCCGGUAGUCCCUGAGCGGGCUGGCAAGGCGCAU